Diospyros lotus (date-plum) is the source of this 410-nucleotide long non-coding RNA. RefSeq lists it as uncharacterized. The transcript is spliced from 3 exons. The record is from RefSeq and is a predicted model, not a curated record. NCBI's taxonomy places the organism in Eukaryota, Viridiplantae, Streptophyta, Magnoliopsida, Ericales, Ebenaceae.
AAAGCAAGUGCAAGAAAAAAGAAAAGAAAAAGCAAAGAAGGAAGGAAAGAGAGACCAGAUUGGAAAUCACCAAAAACGGAAAAGAAAGCUAAAAGAAACAGCCCCUAGUGCAAGAAACCGGGCUGUAAACCGUGCUAUCGAAGGGAAAACGAUCAAGCUUUGUUAGAAGUGUCAAGCGUUACAGGUUCCAGGUUAAAGCGUGAGCAAGGAGGUGGAGCUUCACUAGCUUUGGGAUCUUGGAUUCAUUAUGUACCCCUGUAACCGAAGUAAUAUAUUGUGAAUAGCAGUUAGGGUACUCAAAGUUUGUAAUAAAAGGAUGCCCUACAGUUGUACUACAUUAAUAAGUUGUGUCUUUCCAGAGUGUUAAGAGUCUUUUACAUUUCUUGUACCUGGUAAUGAAAUCUAGUGGA